UCCCUGGAGGACUAGUGGGUAGGCCUCGGUGCUCCGCCGCUGUGGCCCAGGUUCAAUUCCUGGCGAGGGAA
Molecule: non-coding RNA, 71 nt
Organism: Pangasianodon gigas (Mekong giant catfish)
Lineage: Eukaryota; Metazoa; Chordata; Actinopteri; Siluriformes; Pangasiidae
Source: the annotation of a GenBank genome assembly